Molecule: long non-coding RNA, 1154 nt
Filed under: Manacus vitellinus (golden-collared manakin)
Lineage: Eukaryota; Metazoa; Chordata; Aves; Passeriformes; Pipridae
Description: lncRNA (ENSMVIG00005007753.1)
Source: RNAcentral
CAGUGUUACACCACGUGCACUCAGCUGACGCCAGAAGUCUCCCAGAACUCUGAAACUCAGGAAGGGGGGGUAGGGUAGGGUAGGGCUCACCUCGAAGGUCUGCACUGGGAUGCUCUUGGCCUUGCGGGACAGGGGCUGGGGGGGCGGCAGUGGGGGCACCGAGCUCAUUCUCUGACAAGUGACUUUUCAGUGCCUGCAGAGCCCACACGUGGGCAUCAGCGAGAGCCCCACCAGCCCCCCACAGCUACUACCACCCUCCAAACUCUCCAAGUGCCACCAGUGUUCCAAGCACCCUCAGCCCUCCCAGCCUCCCAAGAUCCACCAGCCCCCUCAGCCCUACCAGUGCCCCAGCUCCACUGCCCCCGCCCCCAGUCCCACUGUUGCCUCAUUCCCACGAGCCUCCCCCAGCUCCACCAGCCCAACAAUCCCUGUCAGCUGUCCAGUCCCACCAUCAGCCCCAUCAGUGCCAUCAGCCCCAAAGAUCCCUCAGGACACCCCCAUGAGAACACAUCCCCCGCACACCCCCAGCCUCACCUUCUUCUCGAUGGAGGAGAGGAAAUCUUUCAGCACAGACAGCUUCAGCACCAGGCUCUCCAGCUCCUGCUCCCCGCUCUGCCCUGCUGUCUGGAACCCCCAGGAGGUAACCCCAGCACAGGGAUGGGAUCCCCACACCCACCCCAGUUCCGCCCCAGAGUAACAAGACCCCCAGGCGCCCUGGGAUGGGGCAGGAUGGUGGGUGUUUCUCCCCAGGCUUUCCCACCACCCAUGGAUGGUGCUACGGUGGGGUCUGUGGGCACAGUCCAUGGUGGUGGGUUGCCACCACCGUGUCCCCAUAUCCCCCUCACCUGCUGCAGGAUCUUGGAAACCAUGGGGGAGCUCUGCUGGUCAAACACUUUGGAGAGGAUCUCCAGCCCUGCCAGCACCUUGUCCACCUCACUGCAGGGGCAAGAGGAGCCAGCUCAGUGGGUGACACAGAUGUCCCUCCAUCUGUCCCUCUGUCCCAGCACCCAGCACCCACCUGUGCAGCCGUUUGCAGGAGGUGACAAGGGUCUUGUUGAGGUGGGGGAGGCUGUUGGCCCCCCCCUUCACUGCCUCCAGGUCCAGGGUGUAGCUGCCCUUCAGGUACUCGUGGGAGAUGCUGCUGAGCCCGUUGG